This 497-nucleotide ribosomal RNA is filed under the name uncultured bacterium. RNAcentral describes it as "partial 16S ribosomal RNA". It matches the Rfam family "Bacterial small subunit ribosomal RNA", at positions 28 to 507 of the family's 1533-position model. The record is from RNAcentral.
GAUGAACGCUGGCGGCGUGCCUAAUACAUGCAAGUCGAGCGAACAGACGAUGAGCUUGCUCCUCUGACGUUAGCGGCGGACGGGUGAGUAACACGUGUAUAACCUACUUAUAUUACUGGGAUAAUUUCGGGAAACCGGAGCUAAUACCAUAUAAUAUCUUGAACCGCAGGGUUCAAUAGUGAAAGACGGCUUUGCUGUCUCUUAUAGCUGGAUCCGCGCCGCAUUAGCUAGUUGGUAAGGUAACGGCUUACCAAGGCGACGAUGCGUAGCCGAACUGAGAGGGUGAUCGGCCACACUGGAACUGAGACACGGUCCAGACUCCUACGGGAGGCAGCAGUAGGGAAUCUUCCGCAAUGGGCGAAAGCCUGACGGAGCAACGCCGCGUGAGUGAUGAAGGUCUUCGGAUCGUAAAACUCUGUUAUUAGGGAAGAACAAAUGUGUAAGUAACUAUGCACGUCUUGACGGUAACUAAUCAGAAAGCAACGGCUAACUACGUG